UUUUUUUCCCAACAAAACAAAGAGACAACGAAGAGGCCGGACAACACCUUGGUCCUUUAUUUUGUGCACAGUGACGAUUCACUGAGAGGAAAUCAGCGGGCAGAGAUGACCUACAUGGUGAGUGAAGAAGAAGGAAAACGGCGGCACAGCGCAGCAGAUGACACAACAUAACACAAGACGGGCCGAUAAGAGAUCUCCUCAUCCUGCCGACGGGCCGCCUUUGGCGCAGCCUGCGCGCUAAUCGACGUUAGCCCUCUGCUGUUAUGUUACUGUUCCAUCAGCUGUUUUCGUACGUGUUUGUCGGCGAUGGGUUUGGUCACGAGGGAGACGCCAAGGAUGACGAUGCAGGAGACC
Hippocampus comes (tiger tail seahorse) is the source of this 354-nucleotide long non-coding RNA. RefSeq lists it as uncharacterized. The record is from RefSeq and is a predicted model, not a curated record. NCBI's taxonomy places the organism in Eukaryota, Metazoa, Chordata, Actinopteri, Syngnathiformes, Syngnathidae. The transcript is spliced from 3 exons.